CCUACGGGAGGCAGCAGUGGGGAAUUUUGGACAAUGGGCGCAAGCCUGAUCCAGCAAUGCCGCGUGUGUGAAGAAGGCCUUCGGGUUGUAAAGCACUUUUGUCCGGAAAGAAAUCCUUGGCUCUAAUACGGUCGGGGGAUGACGGUACCGGAAGAAUAAGCACCGGCUAACUACGUGCCAGCAGCCGCGGUAAUA
RNAcentral lists this ribosomal RNA (195 nucleotides) under uncultured bacterium. RNAcentral describes it as "partial 16S ribosomal RNA". It matches the Rfam family "Bacterial small subunit ribosomal RNA", at positions 338 to 525 of the family's 1533-position model. The record is from RNAcentral.